AUAAACUCAGGAAAAGACCUCACUGAAGUCUGACUUCAGCACUACGAGUUCUCAGGGGAGGAAAUUGAGGCACAAUGAAGUAAGUGACUCAACAUCACAGAACUAACAGAAUUCUUCAGCUGCCUAGAAAAGGAACAAGAAGAAACAGAUGGUUGGCUUAACCAGGUCUGGAGGUUGACACGACAGUUGUGAACCAAGAUGAGUGAAAUAAGUCAUUAGGUUGCAGGUCUGGCGAGCACAGUGGGAAGAACUGUCCCUGAGAUUCCUCAGGGUCUGCAGUCUCAGUGUUCCCGGUGAAUCUGAGGUUCUUGAUGUCUCGUCGCAGUCAGAAUUCAGUGAGAGACAAAGUGAUAGGGAAGAAGUGGAUUUAUUUAGAGAGAAACACACUCCACAGACAGAGUAUGGGCCAUCUCAGAAGGUAAGAGGCCCCGAAAUAUGGCGUGGUUAGUUUUUAUGGGCUGGGUAAUUUCAUAGGCUAAUUAGUGGGAGGAUUAUUCCAAUUAUUUCAGGGAAGGGGUGGAGAUUUCCAGGAAUUGGGCCACCACCCACUUUUUGGCCUUUUAUGGUUAGCCUUAGAACUGUCAUGGCAUUGGUGGGACUGUCAUUUAGCAUGCUAAUGUAUUACAAUGAGAGUAUGAUAAGGCUCAAGGUCCAUUAUUAGUCGAAUAUUCUGCCAUCUUGGACCAGGUUGGUUUUAACCAGUUUUUGUCAUGUCCUAUGCCUAUGUCAUUUUUUUCAAGGUUGUGCCCUGCCCACUUCCUUCCUGUUUCAAUAGCAAAAGUAAUUCAUGGUCAUAUUAGCUCAUAGAUUUGUAAAAGCAGCUAAAUUUUAGAAGAGAAAACAUUUUAAUUGUCUAAUGCUCAUUGACAGCAUCUAAAUGUCACUGACAUUUAGCUCAAACCAAAAACAUAUUUUGAAAUAAUAAGCAAUUAAAUGAACACUUUUAUCAGAAACAAGGAUUUCAGAAUAGUUUGCUCACUUGUAUGUUGUAAAUUGUAAAAGGAAAAGGGUUACACCCACACCAUAUGUGAACUAUAGGACUAUAAAGUGAUAUAAUGUCAUCUGCAAUACAUCUGCUUCAUUUAAAUACAAAUUCUAACAUUUAUAGUUUCAGUAGUUGGUCUCGUGGCCUUAUACAUAACAUGAAAAAAAUAAUAUUUGAGGAAGUUUUUGAAUUUGUAGGUGGCUGAUGUAGUUAUAAG
Delphinapterus leucas (beluga whale) is the source of this 1202-nucleotide non-coding RNA. The record is from RefSeq and is a predicted model, not a curated record. NCBI's taxonomy places the organism in Eukaryota, Metazoa, Chordata, Mammalia, Artiodactyla, Monodontidae.